UAAGACCAAAGUGCAACUAAGCUGUCAUAAGCUCAAGAUGUACCUAAGACCUCCCUUAAAACGAUCUUAGCGCUUUUGAUCAAUUUAAUUCCACGAAAGCUAAGACACAAACUGGGAUUAGAUACCCCACUAUGCUUAGCCCUAAAUCUUGAUGCUCUUUUCCCCAUACCUAGAGCAUCCGCCUGAGAACUACGAGCACAAACGCUUAAAACUCUAAGGACUUGGCGGUGCCCUAAACCCACCUAGAGGAGCCUGUUCUGUAAUCGAUAACCCACGUUACACCCGACCGCCUCUUGCCAAAACAGCCUACAUACCGCCGUCGCCAGCUCACCUCCCCUGAGAGCCCAACAGUGAGCACAACAGCCUAAACCCGCUAAUAAGACAGGUCGAGGUAUAGCCUACGAGGCGGAAGAAAUGGGCUACAUUUUCUAAAAUAGAAAACUUACGGAAGGGGGUAUGAAAUUGGCCCCCCGAAGGCGGAUUUAGUAGUAAAGUGGGACAAUAUAAGCCUUCUUUAAAUCGGCCCUGGGGCACGUACAUACCGCCCGUCACCCUCC
This 557-nucleotide ribosomal RNA is filed under the name Calidris pugnax (ruff). RNAcentral's name for it is "partial 12S ribosomal RNA". It matches the Rfam family "Bacterial small subunit ribosomal RNA", at positions 658 to 1405 of the family's 1533-position model. The record is from RNAcentral. Lineage: Eukaryota; Metazoa; Chordata; Aves; Charadriiformes; Scolopacidae.